Non-coding RNA from Triticum aestivum (bread wheat), 126 nucleotides. NCBI's taxonomy places the organism in Eukaryota, Viridiplantae, Streptophyta, Magnoliopsida, Poales, Poaceae. The record is from Rfam.
UGAGUAUUUUCUCCGUUCGAAAAAACUUGUCCCAAACUCGUCUCUUAAAUGGAUGUAUCUAGCAUUAACUUGAUGCUAGAUACAUCCAUUUGAGAAACAAACUUUUCCGGACGGAGGAAGUAUGUG